This is a long non-coding RNA of Dreissena polymorpha, 1395 nucleotides long. RefSeq lists it as uncharacterized. NCBI's taxonomy places the organism in Eukaryota, Metazoa, Mollusca, Bivalvia, Myida, Dreissenidae. The transcript has 2 exons. The record is from RefSeq and is a predicted model, not a curated record.
AAAGAGGAAGGUAAUAUAUGUAUUUAUUAUCGUUGUGUGAAUGAAUAAACUGGUUAUACAGGUUUUUGAAGGUGAUAUAUGUCCAAUGGUGCGGAAAUCAAGAUUUCCUCGUGCACAGAUUUGUAGGUUUAGUCAUUCGACAGGCAAGCAGGGUAGAGCGAAGACUUGAUUUAAAUCGUUUUAUUUAUUUAUGCUCUGUUUGUGUGUUGAUGUUAAUAUUAUGUUUUAUGUGUUUCAGUGAGUUUUAUGAGAGCAGACGGAUGACUGACUUGAGAUAGAAAGGGGCAUUGGUUCCGGACAUUUUAUCAUGGGAUUUACAUAGUUUUCUAAAAAGAAUACUUAACGUUUACGAUAUAGUAACAGCUGAUUAUUUGUAGAUUUCUCUAAAAUUAGAGGCUUCAGGAGGUGAUGAAGGCACCUAGACACCGGUCUUGAGCCAUGGGUCCUCAUACGUCCCCCUGCCAUUAAAAGAAAAAUGAAAAAUGAGCAGUAGGGUUGCGUAUCCCGCUCGCGGUUACACCUGAAUCGUUCGUUACCACCGAUUAUUGUUUGGGGUGUACGUGAAGUCAUGUGCACUUCUCUUAAUUGAUGGUAAUGAAUAAAUCUUGUAAUUAUCGCAGCUGCUUUUAUCAAAACUAAUGCCUCACUUUUAUGUACUUUUCGCAAAUAGGCGUUGUGGAUGGGCAUAGGGGGCGUCCUCGGUGCGCUUUGGGCAUCGGCGGCGGACGGGCGGUUGUAAGGGCCGUGGCAUCCUUGGUUGGGCUUGUGAUUUUGAAUUGUGUAGUUAAAUUGUGCAAUUGUAUGAUUUUGAGUUUAGGCUUGACGUCUGAUGGGUAUUAAUAAUAUUCAAUUAUUCACAUGUAACGCAUGAGCAUGUUUAAUGAUACGUAUAACGACGUGUUCUACAGAAUGGAUUUAGUAUCGUUUCAGUUCUUAAAUUUAUGAGAAGGAUGUCGCAACGUUUACUGACGUCUCGAGACUCUUCAACUGAGCGGUGCCAUUGGGGUCGAUAUCUGUUGCUCAUUGAACACAUACGAUCGUCAGAAGAUUUGUUUCUUGCAUUUAUGUGUAGAAAGCCCUGUCAGAUACAAACACCCACUCCGUGCGUGUGUUUCAAGAAAUAAAAUACCCUGCUUGUCAUGACACCUAAACAAAUGUGUUUGUUUUUAUUCUAAAUGGUUAGAUGAUAAAUAAUUUAUGUUUGUCAUAAAAUGUAAUGGAAUAUAAAACAUAAAUAUGUGUAUGAAUUUAAUGUUUUUUUUUAUGUAAAUACCAUUAAUUCUGUUAAUAUGUAUUUUAUUGUAAUUAUUAUUUCAUUUGGAUGUUUGUUAUGAUUGACGCAGACAGUAGACUGCCGAGAUUCUUAGCCAAAGAAAGAAAAUGUAUUGAAAAAUA